RNAcentral lists this non-coding RNA (84 nucleotides) under Agitococcus lubricus. Lineage: Bacteria; Pseudomonadati; Pseudomonadota; Gammaproteobacteria; Moraxellales; Moraxellaceae. The record is from RNAcentral.
CUUUUUGGUGGGCUAUGCAGGGAGACUUUCGAGUCUGCUGGAACUUGAGGCCAGUCCGCCAACCUUGCAUGGUCUGCCACCCUC